UGGGGAAUAUUGCACAAUGGGGGGAACCCUGAUGCAGCAACGCCGCGUGAAGGAAGAAGGGAUUAGUCUCGUAAACUUCUAUCAAUAGGGACGAAGGAAAUGACGGUACCUAAAUAAGAAGCCCCGGCUAACUACGUGCCAGCAGCCGCGGUAAUACGUAGGGGGCAAGCGUUAUCCGGAAUUACUGGGUGUAAAGGGAGAGUAGGCGGCAUGGUAAGCCAGAUGUGAAAGCCCGCGGCUUAACUGCGAGGAUUGCAUUUGGAACUAUCAAGCUAGAGUACAGGAGAGGUAAGCGGAAUUCCUAGUGUAGCGGUGAAAUGCGUAGAUAUUAGGAAGAACACCAGUGGCGAAGGCGGCUUACUGGACUGAGACUGACGCUGAGGCUCGAAAGCGUGGGGAGCGAACAGG
RNAcentral lists this ribosomal RNA (408 nucleotides) under uncultured bacterium. Its description in RNAcentral is "bacterial SSU rRNA". It matches the Rfam family "Bacterial small subunit ribosomal RNA", at positions 355 to 776 of the family's 1533-position model. The record is from RNAcentral.